UGCGGGGUAGAGCAGAGGCAGCUCGUCGGGCUCAUAACCCGGAGGUCACAGGUUCGAAUCCUGUCCCCGCUACUA
RNAcentral lists this transfer RNA (75 nucleotides) under Anaerolineaceae bacterium. RNAcentral's name for it is "tRNA-Met". It matches the Rfam family "tRNA". From Rfam's summary of the family: Transfer RNA (tRNA) molecules are approximately 80 nucleotides in length. Their secondary structure includes four short double-helical elements and three loops (D, anti-codon, and T loops). Further hydrogen bonds mediate the characteristic L-shaped molecular structure. tRNAs have two regions of fundamental functional importance: the anti-codon, which is responsible for specific mRNA codon recognition, and the 3' end, to which the tRNAs corresponding amino acid is attached (by aminoacyl-tRNA synthetases). tRNAs cope with the degeneracy of the genetic code in two manners: having more than one tRNA (with a specific anti-codon) for a particular amino acid; and 'wobble' base-pairing, i.e. permitting non-standard base-pairing at the 3rd anti-codon position. Lineage: Bacteria; Bacillati; Chloroflexota; Anaerolineae; Anaerolineales; Anaerolineaceae. RNAcentral also lists the same sequence under 1 other name. The record is from RNAcentral.